RNAcentral lists this ribosomal RNA (252 nucleotides) under uncultured bacterium. RNAcentral describes it as "partial 16S ribosomal RNA". It matches the Rfam family "Bacterial small subunit ribosomal RNA", at positions 524 to 775 of the family's 1533-position model. The record is from RNAcentral.
UACGUAGGUGGCGAGCGUUGUCCGGAUUUAUUGGGCGUAAAGCGCGCGCAGGCGGUCCGCGAAGUCCACGGUGAAAUCUCCCGGCUCACCUGGGAGGGGGCCGUGGGGACUGGCGGACUGGAGGGGCUUAGAGGCCGGUGGAAUUCCCGGUGUAGUGGUGAAAUGCGUAGAGAUCGGGAGGAACACCAGUGGCGAAGGCGGCCGGCUGGGGGUCACCUGACGCUGAGGCGCGAAAGCGUGGGGAGCGAACCG